This 3410-nucleotide unclassified non-coding RNA is filed under the name Leishmania donovani. Its description in RNAcentral is "gene:LdHU3.24.1490(CDS-product:hypothetical_prote in_conserved)". Lineage: Eukaryota; Euglenozoa; Kinetoplastea; Trypanosomatida; Trypanosomatidae. The record is from RNAcentral.
UAAAGGUAGGAGGCGACGACACGUGCAACACGCAGGCCAACGAGUGAGCUCUCUCCCUCUUCCUUUCGCUGUCUCUCCCCAGCCCUCCCAUUGAUACAGACGUGCAGAAGGGCGGAGCCGUCAGAGUUGGCGGGCGCGGGGCAGUGAGGGUUGCAUCCAUGGGCAGCACACCUACAGAGCCACGAGGACGCCUGAAGAAACGAGAAAAUGUGGGCGACACUCGCGCGUUACAAGGCCAAGUCGCUUGCGCAGAUGUUUCGAAAAUUGAAGCUCGCCGGUGCGCACCCCGACGUGCUGUGGGGCAUCGAUGCGCAAAAAGCGCAGCACAACGGUGAGGAGAUGAUUCGGCUGGAGACCCUCAUGCACGAGCGGGCAAGCCAGGCGCUGGGAUCCUUGUCCUCCUCCUCCAACGGCCGCGGUCGCGACAACGCGCCGCAGUUCUUUCUCUUCUGGAUGCAGCCCUAUCGCGGGUCAGCCGCGGCCGGUGGUGGCGGCGGUGGCGAAGCGGCCUCGGCGGCAGCUGCGGGGCUGAAGGCGAUCGAGUGCACUAUCACGCCCUACUCCGACAGCCGCAUUGUGAAGCAGCAACUGACGAAGCUGUUCGUCGAUGCCGGCAUCUACGAAGACUUCGAGCUUAGCAGUGAUGGGGUGGAGAUGAACCUCAAGUCGGUGCUCCGCUACGCCGAUGAGAAACAAAACGAACACCUCGUCCAGUCUGGCUCUCUCUACAUCCGCGGUGACAAGUCAGUGGAAAAUCUGCGCCGCUUCAGCGUCCUACUGGUGGUGGAAGAAGACGGGGUGAGCUACCUCGUAUCACUGCCGGAGACGCAGUCGGUGCAGCCCACCGGGGCGGGCCAGUACACGAGCACCGUCGGCGGUGGUGGCGGCGGCAGCACGGCGCCGUACGUACCUUCCAAGACGAUCAUCGGUCCCAACGGGGAGGUAGAUCCAGAUGUGCAGGACUUCAUGACGGAGCGGGGCCUGCGCCCCUUCGACCUGCGCAUGGCUGGCAGCCACUCGUCCGUCGAGCGCUUCGUCGUCGCCUUCGAGCGAAUCGAACGCAUGUACGAGGUGCAUCGCGGUCGCGCGUUCCGUCCGUCCGUGUGCAUCGUCCUUAGCCUCAAGUCCCUCGACAACUUCGUUGCACCGGAUGGGUCGAUUGUACUGUCGGUGCAGCGCAUGCCCUCGUGGGAGGAGUUCUUGCUCAGUCUGCCGCAGCCCGUCUGGCAGGAGUGUGUGCAGAAGCAUAAGGAGUGGCGCGUCGGCUGUGCGCCGAAGCUGCAAGAGCGCAAGCGCCAGCUCACACGCGUGGCGGACAUGUUCCACGUGCACCGGGUAACGAUGGAGUCCCCGAUCGCUGGCAGCACGCAGUGGCAGGACGACCUGAUCGCCCGGUUCAUGAAGGAAGAGACAACCAUACGCCGCGCUGUCGCCAAGUACAGCCUCAAGUCCGACUUGCUCAAGAAGCGCGGUGAGAUACGCAUUGUGGAGCACCUCUACAGUGCCCUGCCGGACUCAACAAUGCCGACGACUACCGCUGCCGGGGGGCGGAAGGAGAUCGGCUUCCGCAUCGGCGGCGACGGUCGAGUCACAUUCAACCACUCUAUCAUGAACACAGGGCAGAUGCUCCGCGUGCUCAAGGACAACCUCAAGCGCAUGGAAACCUUCCAGCGCCAGCACGACAGCGCGAUCAUGGCGCUCGAGCACGUCAGUCGCCAUAUCCCGGUGGACUUCAGCGUCGACACGGAGUGGAAGAACCGGGCGGAAGGAAAUCUCGUGCUGCACCUGGAGCGCUUCGCGCGCACCAUCAAGCAAAACGAAGCGCAGCUCGGCGCCUUUCUGCGCUCCAUCAUGGAUGGCGGGGUGCGGACGUCGAGUGCGGACAAGGUCGUGGUGCCGGCCAACAUGCCGGUGAAGAGGCGAAUGGUGUGGGUUGUGUCGGACCGCUUUGACACGCUGCCCAGCGGCGUCGUCUUUAUCCCGUUCGAUGUCGACUUCGACUCUAUUAAGCGCCUUCUGCUCACCCGUCAGUGAGCGCAUCGUGUGUAGAUGGGUGGGGGGGGGGGGGGGCGUGGCUGCGUCGAUGGGAAAGCCGAAGAGCUUGACGGCAGCGAAUGAUCGCUGGAGCCAUGGGCGACACUGGCAGUGGUAGUGAUGCGCCUCACCGCUGCAGUUGCCGUUGCCUGUGACUAGCUGAUUCACGCGAAGGAGUGUGUGCAGGCGUGCGUGCCGGAGAGAAAGGAUGGUCUGUGGAUGGAAAGUGAGGCGUCGCACGUUUUGUGUGGUGUUGAUGUAGACAGGCGGAGUUGUGUGCCAUUGGGCAGACGUUGGUGAUCAUCUGCCCCCGACCCUUCUGUCACCCUUGCUCGCUCUGCGUUGGAGUCAUCCUUUGCGGUAUUCACAGGAAUACUAAAUUCAAGCAUCAGUAGUACUCCGUAGAGGAAGUCCCUCUCCCCUUGCUUUCUCGUGGCGGUAGUGGCCGACAGGUAUCGCAUCCCUCUGCGGGCAUGAGCACACGCACAUGGCUGCAUGGGAUGUACUUCCUCCUGUAAUCGUUGACCUCUUUCGUCUUCGACACACACACACGCACACAAACUCCCUCCCCAUCCACUCCGCCCUUUUCCCAUCACCAUCCUUCCCUCGUUCUCUACACAUUUGACAUUAUUGAGGUGUACGUGUGUGUGUGUGUGUGUGUGUGUGUGUGUGUGUGCGUGCGUGAUCUUGUAUGUCGCCUGAGCUGCUGCUGGCGUUCUUGUUUCACAGUCGCAGCCGCAUGGCUACCACCACUCUGCCUUCCCUCCCCCUCCCCCUCCUUUUGUUUACUCGAAGAGGGAGGACGCACCCACACGGCACGCGAGGCAGCCACCACCAAGCGCGUUCGCUGCUCGCCACCGUUUUUCCCCCCUUCCCUUCGCAUACGCACACGUACACGCACUCUUGGCGCCCUCACGGGUGCCGUGCUUGUCUCCCUGUGAAUGCGUGUCUGAGUCUCCGUGUGUACGUGCCACCGUGCGAAAGCGCCCCCUGUCACGCGCUCGUGAGCCAUACGAGCAACACGACAUGGAAACAUGAAAGCGACUUCUUCGUCCCUCUUUGUGUAUCUUCUUUGUUUGUCACCAACGCGUACGCGUCUCCCUCAUCGCCUCCUCCCCAUCUUCACGCACGCCUCCACCAACGAGCGCGUGGCAAGCGGGGAGCCACUGUCGCUCACUACAGCACUGCAAUAAGCCAAAGAAGGAAGAGCAUGAGUGAUCGUCGUACACGAUGCAGGGCAGCAUGAGACAGACAGAGUCCGCGUGGGGGAGGGGGGUAUGCGCAUGUGUACGUGGGCGUGGGCCUGGGCAAGCACACUCAUAUACAUCCAUACGCACCCUCCGUUGCUGAGUCUCUCUCUUUGCACGGACGAAACG